CAGCCGCCGCGGUAAUACGGAGGGGGCUAGCGUUGUUCGGAAUUACUGGGCGUAAAGCGCACGUAGGCGGCUUGGUAAGUUAGAGGUGAAAGCCCGGAGCUCAACUCUGGAAUUGCCUUUAAGACUGCCGAGCUAGCAGGUGAGAGAGGUAAGUGGAAUUCCGAGUGUAGAGGUGAAAUUCGUAGAUAUUCGGAAGAACACCAGUGGCGAAGGCGGCCCGCUGGACAAGUAUUGACGCUGAGGUGCGAAAGCGUGGGGAGCAAACAGGAUUAGAUACCCGCGUAGUCCCUGUCUCUUAUAC
Molecule: ribosomal RNA, 301 nt
Filed under: uncultured bacterium
Lineage: Bacteria
Description: partial 16S ribosomal RNA
Rfam family: Bacterial small subunit ribosomal RNA
Source: RNAcentral